AGUGAACGCUGGCGGUAGGCCUAACACAUGCAAGUCGAACGGCAGCACAGUAAGAGCUUGCUCUUACGGGUGGCGAGUGGCGGACGGGUGAGGAAUACAUCGGAAUCUACUUUUUCGUGGGGGAUAACGUAGGGAAACUUACGCUAAUACCGCAUACGACCUACGGGUGAAAGCAGGGGAUCUUCGGACCUUGCGCGAUUGAAUGAGCCGAUGUCGGAUUAGCUAGUUGGCGGGGUAAAGGCCCACCAAGGCGACGAUCCGUAGCUGGUCUGAGAGGAUGAUCCGCCACACUGGAACUGAGACACGGUCCAGACUCCUACGGGAGGCAGCAGUGGGGAAUAUUGGACAAUGGGCGCAAGCCUGAUCCAGCCAUACCGCGUGGGUGAAGAAGGCCUUCGGGUUUUAAAGCCCUUUUGUUGGGAAAGAAAAGCAGCAGGUUAAUACCCCGCUGUUCUGACGGUACCCAAAGAAUAAGCACCGGCUAACUUCGUG
This 492-nucleotide ribosomal RNA is filed under the name uncultured bacterium. Its description in RNAcentral is "partial 16S ribosomal RNA". It matches the Rfam family "Bacterial small subunit ribosomal RNA", at positions 29 to 507 of the family's 1533-position model. The record is from RNAcentral.